GUCUUUUUGAGUUUAAUUUAAAGUCUAAUCUGCCCACUGAUAAUUAUUUAAGGGCCGCAGUAUUUUGACUGUGCAAAGGUAGCAUAAUCAUUAGUCUUUUAAUUGAGGGCUUGUAUGAAUGAUUGGACGAGAUAUAAUCUGUCUCAUAAAAAUUUUUGUAGAAUUUUAUUUUUUAGUUAAAAAGCUAAAAUGUAUUUAAAAGACGAGAAGACCCUAUAGAUCUUUAUAAUUUGUUUAUAGUUUUUUUAUGGUUAUUUUUUAAAUUUAUAAAUUAAAUUAUUUUGUUGGGGUGACAAUGAAAUUUAAUUAACUUUCAUUAUUUUAUAAACAUUGAUUUAUGAAUAGUUGAUCCAUUAUUAAUGAUUAAAAAUUUAAGUUACCUUAGGGAUAACAGCGUAAUUAUUUUGGAGAGUUCUUAUCGAUAAAAUAGUUUGCGACCUCGAUGUUGGAUUAAGAUUAAUUCUGGGUGUAGCAGUUCAGGUUAUUAAGUCUGUUCGACUUUUAAUUUCUU
Molecule: ribosomal RNA, 511 nt
Filed under: Tachytrechus transitorius
Lineage: Eukaryota; Metazoa; Arthropoda; Insecta; Diptera; Dolichopodidae
Description: partial 16S ribosomal RNA
Rfam family: Bacterial large subunit ribosomal RNA
Source: RNAcentral